GACGAACGCUGGCGGCGUGCCUAAUACAUGCAAGUUGAGCGCUGAAGGUUGGUACUUGUACCAACUGGAUGAGCAGCGAACGGGUGAGUAACGCGUGGGGAAUCUGCCUUUGAGCGGGGGACAACAUUUGGAAACGAAUGCUAAUACCGCAUAAAAACUUUAAACACAAGUUUUAAGUUUGAAAGAUGCAAUUGCAUCACUCAAAGAUGAUCCCGCGUUGUAUUAGCUAGUUGGUGAGGUAAAGGCUCACCAAGGCGAUGAUACAUAGCCGACCUGAGAGGGUGAUCGGCCCCAUUGGGACUGAGACACGGCCCAAACUCCUACGGGAGGCAGCAGGAGGGAAUCUUCGGCAAUGGACGAAAGUCUGACCGAGCAACGCCGCGUGAGUGAAGAAGGUUUUCGGAUCGUAAAACUCUGUUGGUAGAGAAGAACGUUGGUGAGAGUGGAAAGCUCAUCAAGUGACGGUAACUACACAGAAAGGGACGGCUAACUACGUG
Molecule: ribosomal RNA, 497 nt
Filed under: uncultured bacterium
Lineage: Bacteria
Description: partial 16S ribosomal RNA
Rfam family: Bacterial small subunit ribosomal RNA
Source: RNAcentral